Non-coding RNA from Trichonephila clavipes, 76 nucleotides. The record is from the annotation of a GenBank genome assembly. Lineage: Eukaryota; Metazoa; Arthropoda; Arachnida; Araneae; Nephilidae.
GGCGCCGUGGCUUUGGUUGGUUAAAGCGCCUGUCCUGAUCUCAGGAGAUCACGAGUUCGAGAUCUCGUCGGUGCCU